RNAcentral lists this ribosomal RNA (151 nucleotides) under Aeromonas media. RNAcentral's name for it is "partial 16S ribosomal RNA". It matches the Rfam family "Bacterial small subunit ribosomal RNA", at positions 383 to 526 of the family's 1533-position model. The record is from RNAcentral. Lineage: Bacteria; Pseudomonadati; Pseudomonadota; Gammaproteobacteria; Aeromonadales; Aeromonadaceae.
CUGAUGCAGCCAUGCCGCGUGUGUGAAGAAGGCCUUCGGGUUGUAAAGCACUUUCAGCGAGGAGGAAAGGCUGAUACCUAAUACGCAUCAGCUGUGACGUUACUCGCAGAAGAAGCACCGGCUAACUCCGUGCCAGCAGCCGCGGUAAUAC